CGGAAAUGUAGACUACUAUGGCAUUAUCUGUGACCUGUAACGAUUGUCUCAGUAUAAGAGAUCAAGUUUAAAGUGAUUGCUAGUUAGAUUUCAAAUUUUUCUCACUAUUGAAUAUUAAGAUGAAGGUUCUCAUUGUGUGCUUGGCUCUCUGUGCAGGUAAGUUUAUUUCUUGUUUUGAUCAUAAGAGCUACGUUACUUUAGCUGUAAUCGUUCGAAAUAUAAAAAUGAAAAUUUGGCAUGAUUGACAAUCAGACAACUCUGCACUAUAGACCAAAUGACACAUCUAUAAACAAAUAUAGGUCACCGUAUUGCUGCAUAUUCUCACUUAUAUAUCAUUUUCUAAGUGGCAUGCGUUUCAUAAAGUUGGGAAAAUCUUUGCGAUUUCUUAAAUAAUAAUACUCAAGUAUCUCUGGACGUUGUCGUACAAAAUCCAGUUCAGAUUUUGAAAAGUGGGACGAAGUUCGAUCUCAAAUGGAAUAAGCUAUUUUUUCGUAUCAAUUUUCAAAGUAUCUCCUCAUAUACGUCAUAACUUGUACUUCCAUGGUUUCUAAAUAUAUUGGUUGAAUUGUACCGGAGUAACAUAAAUUCAUCGUUCUUUGAACACACCAAUUAUCUUAAAUAUCGUUCAUAUUUUAGCAAAAAUGCAGUGCAACUAAUUUUAGAGCAUUGAAGUUUAACCCAGAAAAUUGCAUUUUUCGCAUCUAAUUGAUAAAGUGUAAAUUGUAUGUAUGAUUAUAUUGUUAUAGUUGUUAUGUCUGAAAGAUGCCAACAGACAAAUGACUGCAAGUUAACACUGUGUUCUACAGGCGCCAGUAUUAUGUGUAUCCGUGGUGAAUGUACCUGCACGACUUCAUCUGGAUCUAGUAAGAUAUUUACAUUAAUUAACACCAAGAUAAUGUUAUUAAACACGAAUAAUUGGACACCCUGCACACAUUAUACUUUUCAAUAACAUUUAUAUCCGACUUUUGACAGCUGAUUUUCACAUCACUGACAGCACACUCCUAAUGUUUUGAAUCCUAUCAUUUGCAUUGACAAUAAUAUCUUGAUGUUGAUUAGAAACAUGAUAAUUUUAUUUCAUAUUUUGAUCUGUUAUGGUUUUUUUUCAGAUAAAAAAUUCAACUGUUUUAUUUGAUACGUAGCUUAAUCCCUAUGAUUUUAUAUUUUCGAUCUAUUUUAUUCCUUGGAGCAAUGAUUAUCUCAAAAAAUCAAAUGUAUUAGUAUUCAUGUAUUACGAAAACAGUUUAUGUAAAAUUAUAAUGUAUGAGUCACGAACUCAAAACGAUAGAAAAUUGCUACUUUAAAAUAUAAAAAGACUAGUAUUUUCAUAAUUCUCUGUGCAAGCAAAUACAUUUAUUAAUGAUACCACAACCAUUUCCAAAAAUAACCUUCUGUUACGUUGUCACAUAUGCCCUAACGUUACCUUGAGCUUGAUAUAGCAUACUAAAUAAAUGCUUUGCAUAUACAAAAAUAACUAUCGUUAGAAGUCAACUUUGCACUUUCGCUACUUUGCUUGUUCCAAAGCAUUGAUUAGUCAAAUGUCACGCCGAAAGAUACUUUUGGAAUGAAAUGUUAUUAAUAAAAAAGAAAAAAAAUCACAAAAAAAAAAUAUUUUCAUUUACAAACUUUUCAGUUAAAUCUACAACAUUCAAAUGAUGAAAUUAUCGGAUUUUUACUCGUCUUAUUGUUGAAGGCUGUACGGUGACCUAUAGUUGUUAAUGUCUGUCAUUUUGGUCUCUUGUGGAUAGUUGUCUCAUUGGCAAUCAUACCACAUCUUCUUUUUUUAUAUUACAUGUAAGAUAAUGAAACGUACUAUAUUGGUAUAAUCUCAAUGAACAAAUUCUGAUUUAUUUGAUGGAUCCAUAUAAAAGAAAUUGAGACGCUUAUAACCCUAGACCGGGACAUCCGACCAUUGUCACGAUUAAUCAAUGCAGUUGUCAAGCGAUAAUCACAACAACAGUUUCUUGUCAAUUUAUAUUUAUGUAUGCAUUGUUCAGAGAAGAAAUUGGUAAAACAAAUCUUAUCAUGUCCACUUACUAAUGAGCUUCGUUUUUUUUCAGCAUGCACCACAGCCCAAGACUGCCACGUGGAAUGCCACGACAGAGAUUCUCACUGUAUCGACGGACGUUGUCACUGCAGACAUGGCGGCAAUAGUCAAAAUUUUGGUCGAUAACUUUUUCACCUUAGCCAUUAAACAUAUUCAAUAGAUUAUCAAGAU
RNAcentral lists this long non-coding RNA (2215 nucleotides) under Mytilus galloprovincialis (Mediterranean mussel). The record is from RNAcentral. Lineage: Eukaryota; Metazoa; Mollusca; Bivalvia; Mytilida; Mytilidae.